This 369-nucleotide ribosomal RNA is filed under the name uncultured organism. Its description in RNAcentral is "bacterial SSU rRNA". It matches the Rfam family "Bacterial small subunit ribosomal RNA", at positions 56 to 433 of the family's 1533-position model. The record is from RNAcentral.
UACAAACUAACAACUAAAAACUCCUUGGAGCUUUUGUGAAAGUGCACGAGCGGCGGACGGCAGAGUAACACGUAGGAACGUACCCCAAACAGAGGGAUAAGCACCGGAAACGGUGUCUAAUACCGCAUAAUAUCUUCGGAUUAAAGCUUCGGCGGUUUGGGAGCGGCCUGCGUAUGAUUAGCUAGUUGGUAAGGUAAUGGCUUACCAAGGCGACGAUCAUUAGCUGGUAUGAGAGGAUGAUCAGCCUGACUGGAACUGAGAACGGUCCAGACUCCUACGGGAGGCAGCAGUAGGGAAUUUUCCGCAAUGGGCGAAAGCCUGACGGAGCAACACCGCGUGCAGGAGGAAGGCCUUCGGGUUGUAAACUGC